Molecule: ribosomal RNA, 2518 nt
Filed under: Aestuariivita boseongensis
Lineage: Bacteria; Pseudomonadati; Pseudomonadota; Alphaproteobacteria; Rhodobacterales; Paracoccaceae
Description: bacterial LSU rRNA
Rfam family: Bacterial large subunit ribosomal RNA
Source: RNAcentral
CCAUGAAUGUGACUGGAACAGACUGGAAAGUCUGGCCAAAGUGGGUGACAGCCCCGUACAGGAAGCAUGAUUGGACGUAUUAAGUAGGGCGGGACACGUGAAAUCCUGUCUGAAGAUCGGGGGACCACCCUCGAAGGCUAAGUACUCCUUACUGACCGAUAGCGAACCAGUACCGUGAGGGAAAGGUGAAAAGCACCCCGACGAGGGGAGUGAAACAGUACCUGAAACCGAACGCCUACAAUCAGUUGGAGGGCCCUUGCGGCCUGACAGCGUACCUUUUGUAUAAUGGGUCAUCGACUUGGUCUAUCUAGCAAGCUUAAGCCGUUAGGUGUAGGCGCAGCGAAAGCGAGUCUUAAUAGGGCGUCGAGUUAGAUGGAUCAGACCCGAAACCGAGUGAUCUAGGCAUGGCCAGGCUGAAGGUAAGGUAACACUUACUGGAGGGCCGAACCCACAUCCGUUGAAAAGGAUCGGGAUGAGCUGUGCCUAGGGGUGAAAGGCCAAUCAAACUCGGAGAUAGCUGGUUCUCUGCGAAAUCUAUUUAGGUAGAGCGUCGUACGAAUACCCCCGGGGGUAGAGCACUGGAUGGGUAAUGGGGCCCCACAGGCUUACUGAUCCUAACCAAACUCCGAAUACCGGGGAGUACUAUACGGCAGACACACUGCGGAUGCUAACGUCCGUAGUGGAGAGGGAAACAACCCUGACCUCCAGCUAAGGCCCCUAAUUCAUGGCUAAGUGGGAAAGCAGGUGGGACGACCAAAACAACCAGGAGGUUGGCUUAGAAGCAGCCAUCCUUUAAAGAUAGCGUAACAGCUCACUGGUCUAAACAAGUUGUCCUGCGGCGAAGAUGUAACGGGGCUCAAGCCAUGAGCCGAAGCUGAGGAUGCGUUUAUCGCAUGGUAGCAGAGCGUAGUGUGACAUAACUCCAUUCCUCCUUAGUGCCCUCGGGUACAUUGGAGGAGAGGAGUUUUCUGUGAAGCCGGGGCGUGAGCCAUCCGGUGGAGAGAUCACUAGUGAGAAUGAUGACAUGAGUAGCGACAAAGAGUGUGAGAGACACUCUCGCCGAAAGUCCAAGGGUUCCUGCUUAAAGCUAAUCUGAGCAGGGUAAGCCGGCCCCUAAGCCGAGGGCGAAAGCCGUAGGCGAUGGGAACCACGUUAAUAUUCGUGGGCCAGGAAGAUGUGACGGAUCGUGACUGUUGUUCACCCUUAUCGGAUUGGGUGGGCCGCUAAUCGGUUCCUGGAAAUAGCCUUCCAUCAGACCGUACCCUAAACCGACACAGGUGGACUGGUAGAGCAUACCAAGGCGCUUGAGAGAACGAUGUUGAAGGAACUCGGCAAAAUACCUCCGUAAGUUCGCGAGAAGGAGGCCCGGUUCCUAGGCAACUAGGGGCUGGGGGCACAAACCAGGGGGUGGCGACUGUUUACUAAAAACACAGGGCUCUGCGAAGUCGCAAGACGACGUAUAGGGUCUGACGCCUGCCCGGUGCCUGAAGGUUAAAAGGAGGGGUGAGAGCUCUGAAUUGAAGCCCAGGUAAACGGCGGCCGUAACUAUAACGGUCCUAAGGUAGCGAAAUUCCUUGUCGGGUAAGUUCCGACCUGCACGAAUGGCGUAACGACUUCCCCGCUGUCUCCAACAUCGACUCAGCGAAAUUGAAUUACCUGUCAAGAUGCAGGUUUCCCGCGGUUAGACGGAAAGACCCCGUGCACCUUUACUACAACUUCGCACUGGCAUCAGGCCAUGCAUGUGCAGGAUAGGUGGUAGGCUUUGAAGCAGGGACGCCAGUCCUUGUGGAGCCACCCUUGAGAUACCACCCUUGCAUUGCUUGAUGUCUAACCGCGGUCCGUUAUCCGGAUCCGGGACCCUGCGUGGUGGGUAGUUUGACUGGGGCGGUCGCCUCCUAAAGCGUAACGGAGGCGCGCGAAGGUUGGCUCAGAGCGGUCGGAAAUCGCUCGUUGAGUGCAAUGGCAGAAGCCAGCCUGACUGCGAGACUGACAAGUCGAGCAGAGUCGAAAGACGGCCAUAGUGAUCCGGUGGUCCCAAGUGGGAGGGCCAUCGCUCAACGGAUAAAAGGUACGCCGGGGAUAACAGGCUGAUACUGCCCAAGAGUCCAUAUCGACGGCAGUGUUUGGCACCUCGAUGUCGGCUCAUCUCAUCCUGGGGCUGGAGCAGGUCCCAAGGGUACGGCUGUUCGCCGUUUAAAGAGGUACGUGAGCUGGGUUUAGAACGUCGUGAGACAGUUCGGUCCCUAUCUGCCGUGGGUGUAGGAUACUUGAGAGGAGUUGCCCCUAGUACGAGAGGACCGGGGUGAACGAUCCACUGGUGGACCUGUUGUCGUGCCAACGGCAGUGCAGGGUAGCUAUGAUCGGACAGGAUAACCGCUGAAGGCAUCUAAGCGGGAAGCCCCCCUCAAAACAAGGUAUCCCUGAGGGCCGUGGUAGACCACCACGUCGAUAGGCCGGAGAUGUAAGCAUGGUAACAUGUUCAGUUGACCGGUACUAAUUGCCCGAUAGGCUUGAUUUG